Molecule: long non-coding RNA, 299 nt
Filed under: Pan troglodytes (chimpanzee)
Lineage: Eukaryota; Metazoa; Chordata; Mammalia; Primates; Hominidae
Description: long non-coding RNA NONPTRT001101
Source: RNAcentral
GACAAUGAGCGAGGUGGUGGAGACGCAUCUCUGCCAUGUCCCAUCAUCUGGUGGAGGGAGCUGCAAGGUGGAAGCCACUGUAGCUGUGGAUGAGACCUGGAGCUGUGCUACCUAUAUUCUGACUCCUUUUAAAAAGAAUGAUUGGGGUAGGGCCAAAGGCUCCACGCUUCCACAGUGACCUGCAGCUCUGUGCCCUGUGGGGGUGGACGGGAAAUAUGGAAGUGGGGGAGAGUAUGAAAACAAGCAUGGGGCUAUUAGACACUGUUGCUUAGUGAUUAUUAUACCAAGCCCCCACAAGG